UACAGAGGUCCCAAGCGUUGUUCGGAUUCAUUGGGCGUAAAGGGUGUGUAGGCGGCGCGCUAAGUCGGGUGUGAAAUUUCGGAGCUUAACUCCGAAACUGCAUUCGAUACUGGCGUGCUUGAGGACUGGAGAGGAGACUGGAAUUCAUGGUGUAGCAGUGAAAUGCGUAGAGAUCAUGAGGAAGACCAGUGGCGAAGGCGGGUCUCUGGACAGUUCCUGACACUGAGACACGAAGGCCAGGGGAGCAAACGGG
This 253-nucleotide ribosomal RNA is filed under the name uncultured bacterium. RNAcentral describes it as "partial 16S ribosomal RNA". It matches the Rfam family "Bacterial small subunit ribosomal RNA", at positions 524 to 776 of the family's 1533-position model. The record is from RNAcentral.